RNAcentral lists this long non-coding RNA (1019 nucleotides) under Canis lupus familiaris (dog). RNAcentral describes it as "lncRNA (ENSCAFG00040004636.1)". Lineage: Eukaryota; Metazoa; Chordata; Mammalia; Carnivora; Canidae. The record is from RNAcentral.
AUGGAUCUCACAGGACAUUGUAUUAUGUGCCAAAAGACUCCUCUGGGGAUCGGCUUGCCACACUCCACAUCUUCUCACUCUGCAAGGCUUGCAACUGUCCGCUCAGCCCCCACUGGUGGUGCUGCACUGGGAAGGAGUCAGGGAAUACUGCUUCAUCAAGGAUCAAGUCCCCACAGUCCCUGUCCAGAACUGGGGUGCCCCAUGUCUGAGCUCUACAUUCCUUGUCCUCAAGAAACUUACAGAGUCCAGGAAGUAGAGACAGAAAGGCAACUGGCUUCAAUAACAGAGGUAAGAGCUGCGUAUGAGUACUGUUGGUAUCACUCCAUUUAUUUGGAAUCUUAAGCUGUGUCUUAGAGAUAAUGAUAAGCUAUUAGGCCAGUGUCCAAGUAGCUGGGCAGUAUCACCAGAUGCUGUCACAACACCCAGCAUUAGCCACAGUCAUGUCUCCCUAGCUACCCAUUUAAUGAAACACAAAUGCCACAGUCCAGCUACGUGUCUGGGAACAUUACCUCAAAUUCACAAUGUUCAGAAACUCUGCAGAGAGAAGCACUCCUUAAGGAGGACUUCUUAAUGUGUCAGCACUCCUAAUUCCCCUCAUUUUGCUCAGUGAGAUCUUGCUCCAGAAUAAACCAGAUUGACAGAGGUAAUAUGUCUGUCCUGCUUACUAUUCUCCCUACUGUGGAACCGCUCUUCCUGAAAUUUAAUCUUAAGUGACACUCUCCACCUAUAGUGAGAGGGCAUUAGAAAUUCUAGAAAACUGUGGUUUUUGUUAAGGUGCUAUUAGGGAUGCCUUUCAACAUGAAAGUCUCCUACCUGUGAAAGAAACCUGAAAGUGGUUUACGGUCUCAGUGCCAGGAAUAGUUUUCUUCCCACUGAGACUGACUUUUGCUUACCUGGUGACCCUGAUUGGAACUCUACUGAAUCUAAAUUACGACUCAAAUUACAUACGUGAAGGAAGAUUACUUCAUCUGCACCAGAAUUUCACUAAAUUCUUCUCACUUGUGACAAUUUGUAACUCU